GCAUAUCAAUAAGCGGAGGAAAAAGAACCAACAGGGAUUGCCCCAGUAACGGCGAGUGAAGCGGCAAGAGCUCAAAUUUGAAAGCUGGCUCCUUCGGGGUCCGCAUUGUAAUUUGCAGAGGAUGCUUCGGGAGCGGUCCCCAUCUAAGUGCCCUGGAACGGGACGUCAUAGAGGGUGAGAAUCCCGUAUGGGAUGGGGUGUCCGCGCCCGUGUGAAGCUCCUUCGACGAGUCGAGUUGUUUGGGAAUGCAGCUCUAAAUGGGUGGUAAAUUUCAUCUAAAGCUAAAUAUUGGCCGGAGACCGAUAGCGCACAAGUAGAGUGAUCGAAAGAUGAAAAGCACUUUGAAAAGAGAGUUAAAAAGCACGUGAAAUUGUUGAAAGGGAAGCGCUUGCGACCAGACUCGCUCGCGGGGUUCAGCCGGCAUUCGUGCCGGUGUAUUUCCCCGCGGGCGGGCCAGCGUCGGUUUGGGCGGUCGGUCAAAGGCCCUCGGAAGGUAACGCCCCUAGGGGCGUCUUAUAGCCGAGGGUGCAAUGCGACCUGCCUAGACCGAGGAACGCGCUUCGGCUCGGACGCUGGCAUAAUGGUCGUAAGCGACCCGUCUUGAAACACGGACCAA
RNAcentral lists this ribosomal RNA (616 nucleotides) under Penicillium paneum. Its description in RNAcentral is "eukaryotic LSU rRNA". It matches the Rfam family "Eukaryotic large subunit ribosomal RNA", at positions 38 to 669 of the family's 3401-position model. Lineage: Eukaryota; Fungi; Ascomycota; Eurotiomycetes; Eurotiales; Aspergillaceae. The record is from RNAcentral.